RNAcentral lists this long non-coding RNA (240 nucleotides) under Elaeis guineensis (African oil palm). Its description in RNAcentral is "long non-coding RNA (EGUI_LNC072081)". Lineage: Eukaryota; Viridiplantae; Streptophyta; Magnoliopsida; Arecales; Arecaceae. The record is from RNAcentral.
UUCGACUGACGAUCGGCGCUCACCAAGGUCGAGCCCCGACGUGCCGACUCGGACUUGGUAUCCGCCUGAAACCGACUAUCCCAUCGUCGGUGAUGCAUCGGACUCUUACGAGGACCGAUAUAUCUACAUGGACGGGGGUCACACCCCUCCGACUUUCGGCGACACAUCGGACUCUUACGGGGACCGAUGCAUCUACAUUGACGGGAGUUGACACUCCUUCUACGGUCGAACUUUCGGACC